This 579-nucleotide ribosomal RNA is filed under the name uncultured bacterium. Its description in RNAcentral is "partial 16S ribosomal RNA". It matches the Rfam family "Bacterial small subunit ribosomal RNA", at positions 355 to 925 of the family's 1533-position model. The record is from RNAcentral.
UGGGGAAUAUUGGACAAUGGGCGCAAGCCUGAUCCAGCCAUACCGCGUGGGUGAAGAAGGCCUUCGGGUUGUAAAGCCCUUUUGUUGGGAAAGAAAAGCAUUCGGUUAAUACCCGAUUGUUCUGACGGUACCCAAAGAAUAAGCACCGGCUAACUUCGUGCCAGCAGCCGCGGUAAUACGAAGGGUGCAAGCGUUACUCGGAAUUACUGGGCGUAAAGCGUGCGUAGGUGGUUGUUUAAGUCUGUCGUGAAAGCCCUGGGCUCAACCUGGGAACUGCGAUGGAAACUGGGCGACUAGAGUGUGGCAGAGGGUAGUGGAAUUCCUGGUGUAGCAGUGAAAUGCGUAGAGAUCAGGAGGAACAUCCGUGGCGAAGGCGACUGCCUGGGCCAACACUGACACUGAGGCACGAAAGCGUGGGGAGCAAACAGGAUUAGAUACCCUGGUAGUCCACGCCCUAAACGAUGCGAACUGGAUGUUGGGUGCAAUUUGGCACGCAGUAUCGAAGCUAACGCGUUAAGUUCGCCGCCUGGGGAGUACGGUCACAAGACUGAAACUCAAAGGAAUUGACGGGGUCAUAGC